CGGGAGGCGGCGGGCGGCGCCGCGCGAAGGGACCGAAGUACUCGGCGGCGAAGGUGAGCACGUCGGCCGGCUGGCGCAGCAGCAGGAAGAGCAGGAAGUCGGAGAUGAGCGCUUGGGCCUCGGGGUGGUGCCGCAGAGGCUUCACUCACCUGCCUCCCUCGUGACGGGCAUCUUGGUGACCAUGCAGUACCCCGGGGAGCCCACCUGGACUCUCUUGGCCAGAUGUCUGGAGUGCAACACAGAAGCUGUGAGUGUGGGGGCCUUCCCAGAGCAGCCCACUCCCUUGAGAGAUCCUGGGGACCUCCCUUUACUGCUGCCUCCCCCCACUUGUCUUUGAGUUCCAGGGUCUGUUCAUUUCUAGAUGCCCAGAUAAUGGCUCCUGUUUUUCAGACUGGGUGCUGUUCAUCCCCCUGGAGAUGCAUAUGGAUGUUCUAGGGCUGGCCUGAGAUCCUAGAGGUAAAAGCACUAAAAAAAUUGUGAGCCUCUUGCUGUGUGACACUCAAAGUAGAAACAAGUCAACAAGUUAUGAAAUAAGGAGCACCAACAAUGUUCUGAUUACCUUUCUUCUAGUGUAAUGAUUAUGUCAAUAGCUCUUCAGAAAUUUCAACAAAUUCUUCUCCUCUCCCUCCCAGAUUUUCUCAUGAUUUGGUACCUGUGCUUUGCUGGUGACCGCUUGGCACUGUGCUUCUCCCAGCCCACUGAUUUUUAUCAAGUGUCCAAUUGUUCAAACCUUGGUGUUUUGCAGCAUUACACCCAACACCUGUGGCAACUGCUUUAGCUAUGCCUUAGGCCCUGUGGAGUUGGCGUUGACUUCCCCAGCCCUUUAGGAUUCUUUGGUGUGGUUUGGGAGGAUCAGGAGAAUGAGUGAAUCAAUGAAGAAAGGGUGAUUGAGGUGGACAAAGCAAGGGGCCAUCAGAUCUCAACAGCAGCUCUUCCUUGUGGUAUCCCCAGCAACCGCUGUCUCCUUUUACUCAACACUGCCCCCUGGGCCCCACCAUCAGGAGCUCACCCAUCAGAGAGCAGGAAGAACUGGCAGGACAUGGGGAUGCCCGCAGUGGAGUGAACGGUCUGCUCCACAAUGAACACUUUCGCCUGCUGACGGUCCACCUGGAUUGUCUGGAAGCCCAGGCCUUCCUGGCAGCCACCAAAAUGGAGGGAGGAGGUGAGGUGAAUGUCCGCCAGGUUCUCACUCCAAAUUCUCCCCCAGUCCUUUUCUCCAUCCUGCACCUUCAUUCCUUGUUCACCAGUGAUAAGCAACCCUUGGAUGUCCAGAGCCUUGGGCGCCACGAGAUUUGAGUUGGGGGACCCCUCAUAAGGAGCCAAGUUUGCCCUUCUUCUGCCCCAACCUCUCCCGAACCCAUCUCCACGUUGGUGGAUUCUGUUUCACGGAUGAGGAUCAACCAGUUAGGGGUGAGUGGGAGGAGGGUUAGGGGGCUGGGCUGUCUGGGGGAGGUGUCAGGUACUGAGGAGUGACAGGUUGGGGUUUGUGGCCCCUCAGGCCCACGCUGCUGCAGGCAGAGGACCCUGUUGUAAUUAAACUCCUGUCUGGUGGCCGGCCAUCGGGAGAAAGGUGCUAACACAGAAUGUGUGCUUCAAAUGAAAUGGGGGAACAUGACAUGGGCCUGUAUGUGUCACACACAUCACUCUGUCAUAUUUGUGUAUUGUGUCAUUUACAGUCAAAUCGGUGCCCAAAGUGUGUGUUCAGUAGUGCAGCUUUGAAAUCACAUAUUGCAAGAAGUCCUAGCCUAGGUAUGUUGAUAAUGACAUUUUCUCCAAAAAAAAAAUAAGACAACAAAAAACACCCUUCAGGGUUGAGACAUAAUAAAAGAAUAUCUGUGUGUAGUUGGA
Long non-coding RNA from Manis pentadactyla (Chinese pangolin), 1848 nucleotides. RefSeq lists it as uncharacterized. The record is from RefSeq and is a predicted model, not a curated record. The transcript has 2 exons. Lineage: Eukaryota; Metazoa; Chordata; Mammalia; Pholidota; Manidae.